This is a long non-coding RNA of Mangifera indica (mango), 1392 nucleotides long. RefSeq lists it as uncharacterized. Lineage: Eukaryota; Viridiplantae; Streptophyta; Magnoliopsida; Sapindales; Anacardiaceae. The transcript has 5 exons. The record is from RefSeq and is a predicted model, not a curated record.
GGAUUUAGGAUUUCUGCUAAGUAUUCUUGUUUUUCUUUAAUGUUUCGUUUCUUGAGUAGAGUCUUGGCACUUUUCAGCUAUUUUUGCUGAUUUGGAAUUACAUUUUGAGGGAAACUACAUUUUUUCCUGUUUUCACCAGUACCUAAUUGAACACUUCCUCCAGAGGCCCUUGAGACAUAGCUCUUUUUCGCUACCGAGAAGACAAGAAAUAUUGCGAAGGCAGCAACAAGACUAACAGCUUAAUCUUCCCAAGAAACUGGAAAAACUAUACCCAUUUUGGGUAUCAGAUUACGAAUCUGAGUUUAAAAAUCAGCCUUUCUCCCAAGAGACUAAGAAUGAUUUCCUCCCUAAUCCUGGCACACCUGGUUGCUAUUAUGAAUUGCAGAAGUUGGAGAAAUCUAUGGAACAGUUUUCCGAGUUAAAGCAUGAAAAUUUUUAGCCAUUAAAUGUUCCCUAUCAUCAGAAACUAAAAUGGCUUGCUAGAUUAUGAUAACGAUUAUGACCAAGAGUCUUGUUGCAAUAUAUUGUUUACAGGAGAUGGUAUGCAAGCUUGUAAUAAUGAUUUUGAAAUCAGCCUUUUCCCCAUGUAUUUGGGAAUGAUUUCUUCCCAAACCUGAGUACACCUAGUAGCCCUUGUGAAUUGCCGGAGUUGAUGAGCUAUAUGGAACAAUUUUCAGAGGUGAGGCAUGAUAAGUAUCAUUGCUAACAAAUGUUUUUUAACAGAUGAAAUUAAUUGAGCAUGCUAGAGAAAUUAAUUUUACAAGUUUGCAUUUGAAUUUUUCUGGGUGCACUUGAAAAAUGACUCCACAUAAAACUCUCUACCAACUUUCAUAUCUUUCUUCUGGAAAUCUCUCAACGAAGUGAUCGGUACCCCCUUGGAUUUGCUCUUCGACCAUCUCAAUGUAAACUUCUCUCAUUUCAUUUCAUUUCAUCACAAUUCUCUUAUCAUUUAUGACACUUUUCGCCUGUCUUCUUUCCUUUUUUCUCUUUUCAUUUAUGACACUUUUUGCCUUUCUUCUUUCCUUUUAUGUUGAGAAUGUAGUCAAACAAGUAGGUAGGUUGUUGCUUUGGCUUAACUGUGUUAGAGGAGGCACAAGCCUUUCAGCAGAAAACUAACAGUUAGUUAACGACUCAUUUAGUAAAAUCCAAUGGCUUGGAAUCAAUGUUAGUGUGUUUUCUCUAUAAAAGAUAAAUGGUGGUUAUUGCAUUUCACCAGGAUUGCCACAUCAGACACAAAGGAGCAUAAAUUCAAAUGUAAUUCAAGCAACGAAACAUUUUGCCUUUCUUAUAAUAAACUUGGGGUUCCUUUUGUGCUCUUCAAUUUUUUUUCAAUCAAUCUACACUGUUUUCAUUACACUUUGUAAUAAACAGAGUACUCUGUUUCUGCAACCA